This 23-nucleotide non-coding RNA is filed under the name Cricetulus griseus (Chinese hamster). The record is from RNAcentral. Lineage: Eukaryota; Metazoa; Chordata; Mammalia; Rodentia; Cricetidae.
CACGUACAGGACCUAGAAGGCGG